Molecule: ribosomal RNA, 253 nt
Filed under: uncultured bacterium
Lineage: Bacteria
Description: partial 16S ribosomal RNA
Rfam family: Bacterial small subunit ribosomal RNA
Source: RNAcentral
AACGUAGGAGACGAACGUUAUCCGGAGUUACUGGGCGUAAAGGGCGUGUAGGCGGUUUGUUAAGUCUGGCGUGAAAGCUCUCGGCUAAACCGGGAGAGGUCGUUGGAUACUGGCGAACUAGAGGAUGGUAGAGGCGUGUGGAAUUCCGGGUGUAGCGGUGAAAUGCGUAGAGAUCCGGAGGAACACCAGUGGCGAAGGCGACACGCUGGGCCAUACCUGACGCUAAAGCGCGACAGCAUGGGGAGCAAACGGG